GACGAACGCUGGCGGCGUGCUUAACACAUGCAAGUCGAACGGAAAGGCCCUGCUUUUGUGGGGUGCUCGAGUGGCGAACGGGUGAGUAACACGUGAGUAACCUGCCCUUGACUUUGGGAUAACUUCAGGAAACUGGGGCUAAUACCGGAUAGGAGCUCCUGCUGCAUGGUGGGGGUUGGAAAGUUUCGGCGGUUGGGGAUGGACUCGCGGCUUAUCAGCUUGUUGGUGGGGUAGUGGCUUACCAAGGCUUUGACGGGUAGCCGGCCUGAGAGGGUGACCGGCCACAUUGGGACUGAGAUACGGCCCAGACUCCUACGGGAGGCAGCAGUGGGGAAUAUUGCACAAUGGGCGGAAGCCUGAUGCAGCAACGCCGCGUGCGGGAUGACGGACUUCGGGGUGUAAACCGCUUUCGCCUGUGACGAAGCGUGAGUGACGGUAAUGGGUAAAGAAGCACCGGCUAACUACGUG
This 468-nucleotide ribosomal RNA is filed under the name uncultured bacterium. Its description in RNAcentral is "partial 16S ribosomal RNA". It matches the Rfam family "Bacterial small subunit ribosomal RNA", at positions 28 to 507 of the family's 1533-position model. The record is from RNAcentral.